Molecule: unclassified non-coding RNA, 427 nt
Filed under: Tragopogon castellanus
Lineage: Eukaryota; Viridiplantae; Streptophyta; Magnoliopsida; Asterales; Asteraceae
Description: partial external transcribed spacer
Source: RNAcentral
AUGAUUUCCGUAAAGGUGCAUGAGUGGUGUUUGGUUUGUUACGGAUGGUUGGAUGUCUGCUUGCGCAGCAACUUCCAUGCGGGCUUACCUCUUCAAUUGUGCUACAAGCCUUGUUUGGCUUGCAGCAUUCGGUGGGUUUCUUGUGUUGCUUACCUAAUCGAUGGCAUUGUUUGUCCCUAUAAGUUGCAUUUUGUAACACGCUGCUUGCGGCGUGAUGCAAACAAUGAAGCAACCUUUGUUGUUCAACCUGUUGCUGCUCAUGCAUCGAUGGCUUGGCCCAUGAAGUGUUGAAUGGUCCCUUGGAUAUGGAACAUGAUGUGGGCACAAGUUCGUCAAAGAUCUUGUAUUUGCCCUAUCAAKUGAUUUAGCUUCUUUAAAUGACCGUCGUCCAUGUAUCRACAAGUCGGUGUAUGGAGGAUUGUGUCAA